This 384-nucleotide ribosomal RNA is filed under the name Triticum aestivum (bread wheat). Its description in RNAcentral is "partial small subunit ribosomal RNA". Lineage: Eukaryota; Viridiplantae; Streptophyta; Magnoliopsida; Poales; Poaceae. The record is from RNAcentral.
AUGAAUUUCUUAUGCUGGAACUGUCGCGGCCUGGGGACGGACGCGACAGUUGGCGAGCUACGGUGGCUCAUUAGUAAAUACCGUCCGUCCCUCCUCUUCCUAUCCGAGACGAAGAUGAGGGACACGAGAGCUCGGAAUUUCACGUGGCCCCUUAGUUUCUCAGGUGCUUUUGCAGUAAGUAGUAACGGAUUGAGCGGUGGGUUGGCUCUUUAUUGGUCCUCCUCUUUGAAGGUUUCACUACAGGCCUACUCCACACAACUGAUCGACAGUGUAGUAACUUCAGAAAAUGGAGAUGUCUGGCAUACCACACUGGUUUAUGGUGAGUCAAGAAAAGAGUUGAGGCAUCAAUUCUGGAAUAAACUGCGCUUUCUGUGGUCUCAUUGA